RNAcentral lists this ribosomal RNA (497 nucleotides) under uncultured bacterium. RNAcentral's name for it is "partial 16S ribosomal RNA". It matches the Rfam family "Bacterial small subunit ribosomal RNA", at positions 28 to 507 of the family's 1533-position model. The record is from RNAcentral.
GAUGAACGCUGGCGGCGUGCCUAAUACAUGCAAGUCGAGCGAACAGACGAGGAGCUUGCUCCUCUGACGUUAGCGCCGGACGGGUGAGUAACACGUGGAUAACCUACCUCUAAGAAUGGGAUAACUUCGGGAAACCGGAGCUAAUACCGGAUAAUAUAUUGAACAGCAUGGGUCAAUAGUGAACGACGGUUUUGAUUUCACUUAUAGAUUGAUCCGCGCCUCAUUAGCUAGUUGGUAAGGUAACGGCUUACCAAGGCAAGGAUGCGUAGCCGACCUGAGAGGGUGAUCGACCACACGGGAACUGAGACACGGUCCAGACUCCUACGGGAGGCAGCAGUAGGGAAUCUUCCGCAAUGGGCGAAAGCCUGACGUAGCAACGCCGCGUGAGUGAUGAAGGUCUUCGGAUCGUAAAACGCUGUUAUUAGGGAAGAACAAAUGUGUAAGUAACUAUGCACGUCUUGACGGUACCUAAUCAGAAAGCCACGGCUAACUACGUG